Molecule: ribosomal RNA, 502 nt
Filed under: uncultured bacterium
Lineage: Bacteria
Description: partial 16S ribosomal RNA
Rfam family: Bacterial small subunit ribosomal RNA
Source: RNAcentral
AUUGAACGCUGGCGGAAUGCUUUACACAUGCAAGUCGAACGGCAGCAUAGGUGCUUGCACCUGAUGGCGAGUGGCGAACGGGUGAGUAAUACAUCGGAACGUGCCCAGGCGUGGGGGAUAACGUAGCGAAAGUUACGCUAAUACCGCAUACGAUCUAAGGAUGAAAGCGGGGGACCGGACGGCCUUCCGCGAUUGGAGUGGCCGAUGUCAGAUUAGGUAGUUGGGGAGGUAAAGGCUAACCAAGCCGACGAUCUGUAGCUGGUCUGAGAGGGCGACCAGACACACUGGGACGGAGACACGGCCCAGACUCCUACGGGAGGCAGCAGUGGGGAAUUUUGGACAAUGGACGCAAGUCUUAUCCAGCCAUUCCGCGUGCAGGACGAAGGACUUCGGGUUGUAAACUGCUUUUGUACGGAACGAAAAAGCUCUUACUAAUACUAGGAGUCCAUGACGGUACCGUAAGAAUAAGCACCGGCUAACUACGUGCCAGCAGCCGCAGUAA